AGAAUCAACGCUGGCGGCGUGCCUAACACAUGCAAGUCGAACGAGAAAGUGGAGCAAUCCAUGAGUACAGUGGCGUACGGGUGAGUAACACGUGACUAACCUACCCUCGAGUGGGGAAUAACCUCGGGAAACCGGGGCUAAUACCGCAUAACAUCUACGGAUCAAAUGCGUAAGCAGCUUGAGGAGGGGGUCGCGGCUGAUUAGCUAGUUGGCGGGGUAAUGGCCCACCAAGGCGGUGAUCAGUAGCCGGCCUGAGAGGGCGCACGGCCACACUGGAACUGAAACACGGUCCAGACUCCUACGGGAAGCAGCAGUGGGGAAUUUUGCGCAAUGGGGGAAACCCUGACGCAGCAACGCCGCGUGGAGGAUGAAGCCCCUUGGGGUGUAAACUCCUUUCGAUCGGGACGAUUAUGACGGUACCGGAUGAAGAAGCACCGGCUAACUCUGCGCCAGCAGCCGC
RNAcentral lists this ribosomal RNA (460 nucleotides) under uncultured bacterium. RNAcentral describes it as "SSU rRNA". It matches the Rfam family "Bacterial small subunit ribosomal RNA", at positions 26 to 518 of the family's 1533-position model. The record is from RNAcentral.